RNAcentral lists this transfer RNA (82 nucleotides) under Phlebotomus chabaudi. RNAcentral describes it as "tRNA-Ser". The stretch from base 1 to 67 matches the Rfam family "tRNA". From Rfam's summary of the family: Transfer RNA (tRNA) molecules are approximately 80 nucleotides in length. Their secondary structure includes four short double-helical elements and three loops (D, anti-codon, and T loops). Further hydrogen bonds mediate the characteristic L-shaped molecular structure. tRNAs have two regions of fundamental functional importance: the anti-codon, which is responsible for specific mRNA codon recognition, and the 3' end, to which the tRNAs corresponding amino acid is attached (by aminoacyl-tRNA synthetases). tRNAs cope with the degeneracy of the genetic code in two manners: having more than one tRNA (with a specific anti-codon) for a particular amino acid; and 'wobble' base-pairing, i.e. permitting non-standard base-pairing at the 3rd anti-codon position. Lineage: Eukaryota; Metazoa; Arthropoda; Insecta; Diptera; Psychodidae. The record is from RNAcentral.
AGUUAAUAAGCUUUAAUAGCAAUUGUUUUGAAAACAUUAGAUAGAAAUUAAACCUUUCUAUUAACUUUACUAAUUUUAAUUA